GGGGCAUAUAGUUCUCAUACAUCUCCUGCUCAAGCCAUGGAGCAAACAGGAAAUGCAAAGAGACCACAAGAAGAGGUAGAAGGUCAGAGAUCAAGUGGGUAAUGGUGAGCAAGAAGGAUACAGAAGCCUUGAGCCUUGGUUACAGCCUGAAGGGACAAGCUCACUAGUAAAUAGCCUGCCCCAAGCCCAGGACUCUCAAAAUGUGAGCGGACAGCUUCUGACGGUGGAUGCCACACCAGAUCAAACCAAACACAGAUUUUGUUUGUCUCCUACAAUAAACUAUCUUUUCAGGUUCA
This 296-nucleotide long non-coding RNA is filed under the name Rattus norvegicus (Norway rat). RNAcentral describes it as "long non-coding RNA NONRATT029838". The record is from RNAcentral. Lineage: Eukaryota; Metazoa; Chordata; Mammalia; Rodentia; Muridae.